AUUGAACGCUGGCGGCAGGCUUAACACAUGCAAGUCGAACGAUGACUCUCUAGCUUGCUAGAGAUGAUUAGUGGCGGACGGGUGAGUAACAUUUAGGAAUCUACCUAGUAGUGGGGGAUAGCUCGGGGAAACUCGAAUUAAUACCGCAUACGACCUACGGGUGAAAGGGGGCGCAAGCUCUUGCUAUUAGAUGAGCCUAAAUCAGAUUAGCUAGUUGGUGGGGUAAAGGCCCACCAAGGCGACGAUCUGUAACUGGUCUGAGAGGAUGAUCAGUCACACCGGAACUGAGACACGGUCCGGACUCCUACGGGAGGCAGCAGUGGGGAAUAUUGGACAAUGGGGGCAACCCUGAUCCAGCCAUGCCGCGUGUGUGAAGAAGGCCUUUUGGUUGUAAAGCACUUUAAGCAGGGAGGAGAGGCUAAUGGUUAAUACCCAGUAGAUUAGACGUUACCUGCAGAAUAAGCACCGGCUAACUCUGUG
RNAcentral lists this ribosomal RNA (480 nucleotides) under uncultured bacterium. Its description in RNAcentral is "partial 16S ribosomal RNA". It matches the Rfam family "Bacterial small subunit ribosomal RNA", at positions 30 to 507 of the family's 1533-position model. The record is from RNAcentral.